UUGCUUGCUUUGGUAGCACAUAUACUAAAAUUGGAAUGAUACAAAUAAAAUUAGCAUGGCUCUGGCACAAGGAUGACAUGCAAAUUUGUAAAGUGUUCUAUAUUAAA
This is a small nuclear RNA of Prolemur simus (greater bamboo lemur), 107 nucleotides long. NCBI's taxonomy places the organism in Eukaryota, Metazoa, Chordata, Mammalia, Primates, Lemuridae. The record is from Ensembl.